UACGAAGGGGGCUAGCGUUGCUCGGAAUUACUGGGCGUAAAGCGCACGUAGGCGGCGAUUCAAGUUAGAUGUGAAAGGCCUGGGCUCAACCCGGGAACUGCAUUUGAUACUGAAUUGCUAGAGUCCAAGAGAGGGUAGUGGAAUUCCCAGUGUAGAGGUGAAAUUCGUAGAUAUUGGGAAGAACACCAGUGGCGAAGGCGGCUACCUGGCUUGGUACUGACGCUCAGGUGCGAAAGCGUGGGGAGCGAAC
Molecule: ribosomal RNA, 250 nt
Filed under: uncultured bacterium
Lineage: Bacteria
Description: partial 16S ribosomal RNA
Rfam family: Bacterial small subunit ribosomal RNA
Source: RNAcentral